CUUUUAGUAUUAACUUACGAUACAUGAGGUGACACCAGAUAAUAGGCAGUGAGAUGAUAUGUGGGAAGGGAAGGGAAGCAUUAAACAAAUUCGUAUGCCUCAUCUAUAAUUUCACAUAUGGAUAAAGGUAGUUUUUGGCUUUGUUUUUGUUGUUUAUUUUGUUACAAGCACUCAUGUUAGGACAAAGAUGAAAUGUGCAAACUUUAAAAUUUAAAUAUUCAUUUUCUCUAAGAUCCAGCUCAGUAAAAGAUUACCCCAGUUCCCUGCAAUUUUAAACUACAAGAUCAAAGCUAAUAAUUUGUUAUAAAAGUUAUAUAUUGAAAAGAAAUAAUGAAAAACACAAUUGGGAAAUAUUUAAGAAAAAAUAUGCAGGACUAGCCCUGCUGUGUCAACCCUGUUCCCUAAAUUCAAUCAUAUACCCACUGGUGUGACCAACAGAUAAUGCCUUUGAACAGUAAAUUAAGCUGAACAAAACCAGCUCAACAAGGUUAAGAAAAAAAUGUCACAUCAAGGUAGUAUGUUUUAUUUCUGAAACAGUUCUGUAGUUCUUACAUUCAGAUCUAUUCUAAAUGUUUCUUUGUUAAACUCACUUGUAUUCACCUGUUUUUUAAAGAUCUGUUGUUUAAAGGUUAAAAUCUCUGUAAAACCUAAAAAUGUUUUAAAAUUUGCUGAAAAUGCAACAAAUUCUCAAUUAAAAUUUAUUUAAAAUAAUACCCUCCACUGAUGUUACUUUUACCCCCUGAAAAACUUCGGAGGAGCAUUAACAAAAGAUUUAAACUACUGUGCAAAAUUUCUUCACGAAAAGUGUUUAAAGGCUGGUGCAAAAUGGGAAGCAAAUUCUAAACAAUUUUGGCUUCUUGGAAACAAAAACCGCUGUGUCUGAAAAGAGUAAUCAUCGGGGUGACUCCGGGAAGGGCCAGCUUCAUCUUUUCCGGCGGCAGGUGCGCUUGUGCUCCGCGUGCCAGUGCUCCUGCUGGCACUUGAUGGAGCAGUAGGAUGUGUUCCAGCAGCAGUGGUACAUGGCCUCCUCCUCACAGUUGUAGCACCACUGCUUCUUCUUGGUCUGAGAAAUCAGUUGC
This 1079-nucleotide long non-coding RNA is filed under the name Homo sapiens (human). RNAcentral describes it as "LNC_000504". Lineage: Eukaryota; Metazoa; Chordata; Mammalia; Primates; Hominidae. The record is from RNAcentral.